Long non-coding RNA from Pogoniulus pusillus (Red-fronted tinkerbird), 7161 nucleotides. RefSeq lists it as uncharacterized. Lineage: Eukaryota; Metazoa; Chordata; Aves; Piciformes; Lybiidae. The record is from RefSeq and is a predicted model, not a curated record. The transcript has 2 exons.
UUUCUUUCUUUUUUCUUUAAAGUCCUAUUCUGUGGAACUACUGAGUAACCAUAAAGUAUAAUGUUAGCAGCUGUAUGUAGUUAAGCAAUUAUUAAAAUCAAGGCUCUGAACUAUAUUAUUUCUACCAGGGUUAUCUAACUUGCCUCAAAACCACCCAAACUUGAAGGUCAGCUUUAAUAGCUGAAGUAGUUGCAGGUGUAAUAGCAAGCAAGCCCAUUAACAGAGGACAGUACUUCAUGGGGGUAAGCAAGGCAGGGGAAAUCCUGCUGUGUGGUGGUGUUCUCGGACAAAACUGCAUCUGGAACAGCUAUUGCUGGGUUUGCUGACAAGGAACAUUUGAUCUGCUGGUAGUAUAGAGGGCAUGAUUCACAUGACAUAUACCAUGCCAGAAGCGGGGAUUCUGUUACUCCCUCAGUGAAUGCAUAAAGAGAAAUGACAAGGAGGAUGGACUAAGAAGAUUAGGCAGCUGAAAGGUUUUGAGGCAAAGGAUCUUUGUGAAGGUGGAGAAUUCUUUGUUGGUUUGUAGACUGUGCUGGACUGUGACUGUAAAUGGCAUUCCUGUUGCCAGAACUUUGUCCUUCAGGUAGAAGAAUGCAAUGUUUCUACACUUCUUAAAAAUGUAGCUUUAAAGUCAGAGUAGAACCUCUUUUGAUCCAUCUCAAAUUAGGGGAAUAAAAUAUAUUCCAGCAGGUCUGAAUUGAUUUCUAACAAUUUAGACAGACUAGAUCUUAUGAUAUUUUCAUAGAACCAUGUCAUGUUUUUAGACAGACCUUCAGGUCUACCCUCCAUUUAUGCAGAUAAUCAGAGCUUCAUUUAAUAGCUAUACCUCUGAUUUCAAACCUUUAAAAAAGCUCUGUGGAAUAUUUUUCUGAAACCAUUGUGACAAGGAAAUAGAGGGGCAAUACAGCUUCCUUCUGUUGGAAAACUCAGUAGGAGAUGUCUUAUUAGUGAUAUAGUUGAUGUGGAAAAUCUGGGAAAAUUAAUUGCUGGGCUUUUGGUGUACAGCAUAAAGCUAAAGCUCUAAAAAUGCAGUGGAAUGUCCAUCCAGAAACAGACCUGAAUUACCUACACUUAGUUCUAGGACUUGAAAUGUUGUUGAGAAGCCUAACACCAUUGUACUUUGUCAACAUUGUGUCAGAACUUGAAUCUUUCCUUAGAAUUACAAAAAUAUCUGCUUGAGGGGAAGGCGGAAAUUGAACAUUAUGAACUCUGUAAAGUACAUUUCCUUGACAGAAGGAAACAGAUUAAGAGCUAAUGCUAGCUGGCUGACUGCUGAGGGUCUCUGACCAGCUGAAAGUAAUGGCACUUGAUGCUGUGAUCGCUUACCGUAUCCACUGCUGCAUUUUAUGUUGGUAUAUGAAAAAAGUCAUGAAAGGACAACAUGGAGAGUCUGUUCCCAGAGGCAUGAUUAGAUUUGUUCCUGCUGUGGGUUUAAACAUUGAACAAGUAGAGCAGCUGAGGAGACAAUCUGGUUUAGGGUAGCCUUUGAAUCCAAACCAGACUUAGGCUGUUUCCAAGAGAAACAAUACUGCAUAGUCGGAAGAGGGCUGUGCAAGUGUUUAGAGAAGGUGCAUCAAAGGAGUAUCAGCACUAUUAAAGUUGCCUCAUUCAUAGGCAAAAGAAGGGGACUGGGAGGAAAAAGCAGGAUCUGAUUAUAUAGAGAUUAUACAAAACUGCUUGAACUAAUUAUGAAAGUCCCGACUGACUGAUGCCGGUGACACAUGGACAUUGUAGCAGGAUCAGAAUGUUUUUACCCAAAAUUUUAAAAGUGGAUACCUGAAUAUGAAAGGCAACAAAAUAAGAGUUGCUUUCAUAGAAAGAGAAGGCCCUGGGCAAUUUCAGCUAAUGGUUAUCAGGUAGAUACACUCCCUUGGGGAGUGCUGCACAACAUGUCACACUCCUACUAUUCGUCCCAGAUGAUACGUUGGUGCCUGCUGAAAAGCUUUUCAAGAGGAACUGAUACAUGACAGUACUAAAAGGUUAUGGCUGCCAUCCUGCAUGCAACAUUGACUCGUAUAAAGGAAGUUUUCCUUGGGAUAUGUGGUAAUUUCAUAAGUUGAAGACUUUGAAUUGUUAGGGGGUAGGACUGGUGAAGCCUUGUUGAAAUACAUAGAAUUAUGAGCUUGAAUUUCAUUCAAGAUAUGUGAGUUAAUACAGACUGUCAUCCAUAUGUAUGUGAGGCCAGACACGAAUAUGAACUGUAGGAAUAAAGAAGUUUGCCAAAUAUCCAUGCAAAUACAGAGGUCUGGUAUUACUUGCAGGAUUAGAUUGUGACUGUCAAUAUGUGUGUGAAUGGAUGAGACAGCAGAAGUUAUUCCAGGGAAGGGGAAAGGUGGGGCAGGGACAAAGAACGCAAGAUAUGCUUCAAGAUAACAGGAAAAAGAUUAAGCUAUUGGACUAGGAAUAUUGCCUGUGUUUAUUUCCUGUGGCCUUAGGAAAACACAGCUCAUGAUGGAGGAGUGGUGAUGGUGGUGGAAAAGAAGUUCUCUAAAUAUUGUAGUCUUUUUUCUAAAGGGUUAGACCACAGGUUAACCCUUCUGUCCUCUUUGAGACAGUGUAUAUACUUACAGUGUGGCCAUGCACAUCAGAUGGUUCUCUUGAAGGUUACAGUUAACAAAAAGUUCAGAGAUGAUCACCACUUCAUAUGAUCUAUUACUGAAACCUGGUAUGCUCUAACCUUGCGUGUUUAGCAUCAGAACUAAGAGGUUAGAUCAAUUUCAUUCUGAGUUAGUCCAAGAAAUAACUUGCAAUUGGUAGUUCAGUGCUGAGAUUAGCCACAUAGUGUCACCCUAGACCAUAAAGAAAAAAAUGAAAGGCAUUCUGCCUAAUCGCUAGAUUUGAGAAGUUGUUCUGGAAGUGCUCUGAAGAAAUGUUACUACUUCUAAAUAAAUUAACAAGCUUCUCAGGAGAAUCUAUUUCAGCCUGCGUGACACAGCUGUAGGCAGAAGCUGGCAGUCUUCGGGUGGUCCUGAAGUUUUGGACAAUACUUCAUGCUAGGAGCCAUCAGCAAAGUGAUGAUAAUUUUGAUACUUUCUUACUCCUUGAGACCUUGGCCUUUGUACUUUUCAUGAUUUCUACUAUGAUUUCUAGUAUCAAAAUCAUAUUUUUCCAGAGUUUUGAAAUAUGAUGUAGAUUCUGAAGGCAUGCAUACAUUUACAAUAAAGUGUAAGUCUUUAGGUUUAUGCCACUGAGUUACUCCAGUGACCUCCCCAAAAGAGGUCACAAAGCAAAGCUUUGUAUUCCUUAUCCUUUCUUUCUGAAAUAAUUUGGAAUAGAAAUUGGUUUCUAUUCCUGAGCUUACAUUUGCCCCAUGUGGCUUCCAUUUCAAAUGGAGUUUGGAAAGUUUGUCUCUAGGCCUAGGUAAUCCAGAAGUCUUGAAAGAGUGAUCAUUUUAAAAAUACAAUUUUAAAGUGAAGUUUCAAAACAUGUUUGAGAUCAUAGAAUGGUUUGGUUUGGGGUGGAAGGGACCUUAAAGAUCAUUUAAUUUCAGCCCCCACGAAAAGUUCUAAAUCUAGAUAUAGCUGAAGAGCUUCCUCUGAAAUUAAAAUGAUAUUAAAAUCUAGCUGCAAUCAGGUUAUGGGCAUCUGGAUGUGGUGUCAAUUGAAAUUCAAAGAGUUUGAGUUUCAAAUAAUAUGAAAUUGGUAUUUUGUGUAAGUUAGGCCUCUAGUCACAGUACUUGGCAGUAGAGUCAUUGAUUACAGAGAUUUUAGGAUGUGCUUUGGUUAAAUAUGAACUACUUUUGGUAACAGUUGUCUCUCUAAGCUUUUGUUACUAUUCCAUUUGCCAAAUUUAAUUGCAUACAAUAUUUUAUCUUUUCCCAUAUUCCCGUCUCCAAAUAACAAACAUGAAGGUUGUUGGCUUUUGUACUGAGUUCCUCUUUAUAUGUAUUAAUCUUUCCGAAAUUGAGAGAGAGCUCAACCUGCUGUCUUCAGAUAGAUGUGGGUUUUUUGCAGCCUGUCCAGACUGAGUAGCCCCCAUCUGUAAUUAAUAUAUGCACCAAGAAAGGUAAUUUGGUGAAAAGAAGUAAGAAAACCUUGCUACUGGGAGAAAACUCUGACACAAAGAAGAACCUUGAUAUUGCUUUACUUAAAUAGCUGGAACAGCUAGAAUGAAACCUUUUAAUGUGAGCAAUAAAGUUCUCCUAUUAUUUGUAUUUAGAAAUGAAGCCUCCUUCCAAGAAGUCUUAAAAUAGCAGUUGCAAAUAAUGAGAGUAAAGCCUGAAAAUUUUCUACUCCGCUUAAAACAUAAUUUGAAAAGAAUGUAUACACACAUAUGAGAACAUAGUCACUAAAAUACAAAAAGUAAGACUUUUCAGGUAUGAUUCUGUCAGCAUUUAAUGAAAACAAGGCUUUUCCAUCCUUACCUAGAAUACCAUACAGCAGGACUCAUGCUUACUAGAGAAUUAAAUGGUGGGAUUGGGAAGUAAUCAAAGCACUCACUUGGUGCUCUCCUGGGGCUUUCCAGUAUUUCAUCACUGGUUCUAGGGAUUUUCAUCACACAAAAAGCAUAAAAUCUGGAAUAUUUGGAGUAUCGCUUAUACAUCAGCCAUCCCAUAAUUUAUUGCUUUCCAUUUACUCACUAACACUCAUCUUGUGGCUGAAUUAGGGAAAAUACAGUGCACUUUCCCUUCAGAGUUAACCUUACAGUACAGUCAAGGCUGCAUCUGGGUCCAAAUGUUACUUUAAUUUCUUUUCUCUUUUAAGUUAUGGUAGCAACACCAUAAAAACUACCCUCUGAGUUAGACUCCAGGCCUGAAGGCUUUACAGCUGCUUGGCUAGUGGUUAGCUUACUAGCAAGCUGAGAAAGAAUGAGCUUGCUGUUGCAUUGGAAUGUUUCCUGUAAAUGUAUCUGUAAAUCCUUUCUUUAUUUUUGCACUAUCUGAUAGAUAAAACAACAUUUCCUUCAUGUGUGCCAUCCCUUCUAUCAAGUUUAUUCAAAUUUCUACCACAUUGCUAUCUUAGGUGCACUAUUGAGGGGAUCUAGACAUGCUUGCUGGAAGCAGCUGCUGCUGAAAGCAGAAAUUGAACAGUCAUUCUCUGAUAUUUAAGAAAUAAUUAAUGAACCAUCAAAUUAUGCCCUCAAAGAAUCAAAGUUAAAACACCAUCUAGGAACAGCAAUUGUAUAAUGUUUUCAUUCCGUUGUAAGCUGGGGCAAUUCCAGCCCAGAUAUAAUUAAAUUGAUUUGGCUGUGAUAUAUAUUUAUUGUAGAUAAUUUCAGCAUAUAUUUGUAAUACCUUCUACUCAUGGUAUGUUAAGAAUUAGACAUUUGUAAAUAUAACUGAAUACCAAUCAAGUGCAGCAAGUAAUUUCAGAUUUAUGACUUAAAGAAUUCUUUGAGGACAAAAAAAAAAUCCUGCAAUCCAUGACAGGAGAAGUGUGUGCUCAGCAUUGUAGCUGUUCCCUUAGAAACAAGGCAUCACAUGAUGCACAGUGCUAGUGGAGCAUGCUCAAUGCAUAAAUAAAUUAGGCUGAUUUUUUUCUUCUUUUGUUCUGAAAUUUACCCUGGAUUUUCUGCUGCCAGCUGCAGCACUGAAAGCUGCUUGGUUUGCCUCCUAUGUAAAAGCAUGGUCCAAGUGAUUGGCAGUGCUGUGUACUGCUAGUGCUAAAAUCUUCAUUAAUGUGGAACUAUACCACACACACCUUUUCCAGUGAGCAAGUUCAGCUUCCCUGCAUGUAGACUUUGGAAAGAAAUCUCAGCAAAAUUGACUUCACCCAGUUAGAAGGAGAAAACCAGUCAAGUGACAGAUCACAACAGUAAGCUAUUAGUCAAAACAAAUAAACUAGAAGUUCUUGCCAUCAUUUCAAUGCUCUUUGAGCUGUUUCAUUUUCAUUGUUUAUAGCCUCAGUAUUCUGACAGUAUCUUAACUGAGAAAACCCUAUUAUAUAAGGAAAAAAAAAAUAAAGUGUUUCUUCUUUGCAGGAUUUUUAGAGUAUGUUUUCAGAAAGGAAAUCACUGCUUUAAGACAGAAAAAAAAAUCUAUGUACUGCAGCUCUGUUAGUUGGCAUUUGUACCUAACAGUGUGUCUUGAAUACAUGAUGAGCCAUUUGCAGACUCCCACAGGCUGGUGGAGCUGAAAUCUGAAUUUAUUCAAGUCCAUACUCAAUCUGAUUUCCCUAAAGAAUAAGAUCUCUGUUGGAGCUCACUUGAAUCACACUUGUUUUUCAUUGCUAGAAUGAGGUAGAUGCUUUUGAUGGUCCUUUAGAAACAGCCAAACUGGGACUCUUUAUAUAAAGUAUUUAUAUAUGGUUUGAUAUAUAUACACACACAUAUAUAUAUAUAUAUGCACAAAAUACAUGUAUAAAAAACCUCCUGAGGAUGGAGGUUAGAACUCUUUUAUCCCUUGUUCAUGCCUGGUGAAGUCUUUCCAAACUGUUUGGAAAGAGUUGCCAUACCAUAUGCUUGGAUCAUAGUUUCCUAUGCUUAGGAAACUAAGAAACCCUGAAAAGGCUUAGUUACACUUGGAAAGCAAUUAUUUUCUCUUGAACGUUUAAAAAAUAUUAUUAUUAUUUAUCUCUUCCUUAAAGCUUCAAUGUAUGUGCUUUGCAGCUGCAUGCAAAGUGCAUGGUUUUGUAGGUGAAUUGGAUAUCAGACCUAAAGUAAUCAGAGAAAACUCUUUGUGCCUUUCUUCCUGUCCCCAGCAACCCAGCCAUGAUGGCUUUCAUAUUCAAAGGCUAUUGAACAUGCCAGGAAAGUGGGAAACUGGAAAGUUUCAUAUUGCAUAAUACCCACAAAGGAGGGAAUUACAAGGUUACAAGGCUCAGUGUAGUGACAGUUGAGGUGUCUAUACCCUUGCUUCACAGGGGUCCCCAUUUUGUAGUACAAGCAAGGCAUUGCUAUUCUUUACAGUAUGGCAAGUUUAUAGUGUAAACAGGGAGCACCACAAACUGCUAAGAGAAGUAGCACAUCCUUUUUUUUGUCUGAUAAUGUCAGACUUCCUUUGUAACUUCAUGAGCUGUAUUGCUCCAAUAGUGUUGCUCAUUGCUGGGCCAUGGAGACAUCCAAACAAAAUGAUUGGAAGAAAAUGGUUUAGAUUUGUGUUGGUUGGUGACUGUGACAAAAUUAAUCACAAACCUUGUCUUCUACUAUCCCAUGUAGUUCUUUCUGUGACAGAUAUAUUGGGUGAAAGGACCUGUGUCUCAAUAAACUAUGUUUCAAUUAAAA